Molecule: ribosomal RNA, 314 nt
Filed under: uncultured bacterium
Lineage: Bacteria
Description: partial 16S ribosomal RNA
Rfam family: Bacterial small subunit ribosomal RNA
Source: RNAcentral
GUAUAAGAGACAGCAGUCGCCACGGUAAUACGAAGGGUGCAAGCGUUAAUCGGAAUUACUGGGCGUAAAGCGCGCGUAGGUGGUUCAUUAAGUUGGAUGUGAAAGCCCUGGGCUCAACCUGGGAACUGCAUCCAAAACUGGUGAGCUAGAGUACGGUAGAGGGUAGUGGAAUUUCCUGUGUAGCGGUGAAAUGCGUAGAUAUAGGAAGGAACACCAGUGGCGAAGGCGACUACCUGGACUGAUACUGACACUGAGGUGCGAAAGCGUGGGGAGCAAACAGGAUUAGAGACCCCAGUAGUCCCUGUCUCUUAUAC